CAAAAUUCACAACAAUUUUCAACAUCAAAUAUUAACAACUUUUUUUUUUUUUCUUUUAAAGAACAUUUGUUUCUUUUCAACAUUUAUAAAUCAAGUCUGUCUGGUGGUUUGCGAACCCUCUCAGGAUAUCUGCGUCCAGGAGGAUCAGUGAAAACCUCGGGCCAUUUUGAAUGAGCGUCGACCACAAUAAGGAACAUGUGAUCCAUGAAAGGUCCAGCAUAGUCAAUGUGAAUGCGUUGCCAUGGGGCAACAGGCCAUUCCCAAGUGUGGACAGGGGCAAUCUGAGCGAGUUUAGAACUUUGGAUCGCAGUUUGGGAGGUACAACAACGCGUGACCCCCACAGGACAC
Syngnathus typhle (broad-nosed pipefish) is the source of this 348-nucleotide long non-coding RNA. RefSeq lists it as uncharacterized. The transcript has 3 exons. The record is from RefSeq and is a predicted model, not a curated record. NCBI's taxonomy places the organism in Eukaryota, Metazoa, Chordata, Actinopteri, Syngnathiformes, Syngnathidae.